GCUAAAAGACAAAACUUUAUUUGUUAGUAUCAGAAGAAGUAUUAGCCCAAAGACACAGAAACCCCAUGACCGCUGACUUAGUGUUAAUGCAAAGUGCAAGUCUAUCCCUCUCUUGACCCUAACAGGCUGCAGCACAUCCGUCAGUACGGUUCAGGAACACUCUUCACUCCGCUGGUAACCCAUAGUGGCUUAUCCACUACUUCUCCGUACGGCAGUCUACCCAUAAAGACGGACGCUGUCCCUGUACUGUCCCUUCCUAGACUUUCUGCACUUCAUCAGUAUAAGGGGGAGUUUGUAGCGGAAUACAGGGUGAGAUGAGGUCUUGAUCAUCGAUUGUCAGAUGAGUGAAGGUUGGUGUUGCUUGGUCUACAGUUUUCUGCAGGAAUUUCCUUAGGCAUGGGAGGACACAACAAAUGAGAAGAGCGAGAAUAAAAAAGAAAAAUUAGUAAGGCAAUACCAAUCUGGACUAAAGCUCUCUGCCAACCAGUCAUCCAACCAAACCAUUUUUCCCAGGGAUCAGUAACUCCAGAGUUUCUCUUUAACUCCUCUGAGAGUCUAUUUAAUUUAGCUAUGGCCAGAGUGACUUUACCAUUAGGACCUGUGUUUUCUGGAAUGUAAGUGCAACAAGUCAUAGUGUCGGGAAGUAUUUUACAGACCCCCCUUUUUCGGCUAAGAUCAUGUCUAAGGCCAGUCUGUUCUUGAAGGUCAUUUGGGAUGUGGCCUGUAAUUGCUCGGCCAAGCCCUGGAGGGCAUCCCUGGUGUAGUUCACGAAGCGCUGUUGGUUGUAAUAGAUAUAAUUAAUCCAAUUAAGGUUUUUGUUGGCAGUGACUAUGGUAAAAAGUGAUUCAAAACCUACAGCUACUUCAUCUCUAGCUUUAAAUUCAUUAGGUACCCCCCUAGGUACCCCAAUGGCAUCUAUGUAAAUGUGGGGGUCAAAACUGCCUUUUACUGGGGUUUCGCGCCUUACUCUGGCUGAUGUAUGUGGAGGGUCGUAUGUGUCAUGAUGAUUAUCAGAAAUAAUAUGAAUGGGCAUGAUAACUUUGGCCAGGGUACACUCACCCCACCACUCAGUUUCCAGCCUAGAUCUUAAC
RNAcentral lists this long non-coding RNA (1091 nucleotides) under Pelobates cultripes (western spadefoot toad). The record is from RNAcentral. Lineage: Eukaryota; Metazoa; Chordata; Amphibia; Anura; Pelobatidae.